This 3019-nucleotide long non-coding RNA is filed under the name Salmo salar (Atlantic salmon). RNAcentral's name for it is "lncRNA (ENSSSAG00000102637.1)". Lineage: Eukaryota; Metazoa; Chordata; Actinopteri; Salmoniformes; Salmonidae. The record is from RNAcentral.
GUAGAUUAAUCUACAGGUUCAUUUAAAUUUGCUGGCGUAACAGUUGACAAAUCACGCGAUUUAGAGUAGGCUACGAGCAUUUCGCUGCGCGAGGCGCUGGGAGGCAAGAGCAGCAGACUGGAGCCAGACAGUCCGUGUGCUAGAAGCAGUUGGCAAUAUUCGGACGCUUAUCCAGAGAAGAAUUUGGCUACACAUCUACAUCUGUGUUCAAGAGAUGGAUGCCCAGGCCAGUCCUGCAAUGGUGAUAGGCUUGGGAAGACUCCAGCUGUGAUGCAGCAGCAACAGCAGCAGCAACAGCCCUCUGCUGAUCCGGAAGGGGUGGGGUAACUGCUGCAGCCAACUGACGGAGACCAGUCCAGAUCACGUCUAGCCUGCGCUACCAUCACUGUGGAUCAUCAUCAUGGAGAGUCAGUGGCAUCUGUUUGACCCUUGGGGUCACGAUGACCGGGCCCUGAUUGGCUCUGAGACAAAGCAGGGACAGUGUUGAAGACUCACUCCAGAGAAAAUAGAACGAGAGCGAGAGAUUUGAAAACUAUAGCACAGUCAAUCUCUCCAAUACAGUGCUGUAUCACUGGAACGCAUUUUAUUUUUGUUUAAGUAAAUUGAGGGUUGAAUUUUAAUUUCCCCCCAAAAUGAAAGCACAGACUCCUAUCUGGGACUGAUAGUAGUACCAUAAUGCAUGGAUAAGUAUCUGCAUAAGUAUCACAACAUCGAGAGCUCUGAGCCCUCACAUUUUAAAUCAUCCUAGUUGGUGCCAGUCUAUCCACCCAUAGAUAUCUGAAUACAUUCACACCAUAUACUCUUUUACUCUGAGACUUUCACAUUGCACAGGUGGACUAUGGAGCAAGUCUGAUCACUAUAAACAGUCAAACAGAGAGCCACUCUAGUGUUGCGUGACUCGGAUCCUGUUUGGUUUGUGUCAUGGAGUCUGAGGAGAGCCUGGGGCUGUCGACUGCAGCUGUGGUGGCCAUCACCUGCAAUGCCCUGGUGGCCAUCCUCCUCCUCGUCCUCUUCCUCAUUCUCUACAAGGCCUGCAAGGUGCCCUCCAGCCAGGAGAGGGUGCCUGUGCUGGCGGUUCCUACUGGGCAGACGCAACAGAGCAGCGAACACAAGUACUUGCUGACCUCAUGACUGGCAGCAAGAGAGAGAGAGUGAGCACCACAGUGUAUACAUAGGGCUCAGGGAGGUACUGUAUAGUAGAGGAGUAGACUGAUCCCAGAUGUGUUUAUUAGGGCCGGGACAAUAUGAGUAUCGCGAUACUAGUUAGUAUUGUGGCAAGGAAACAAAGCACGAAGCGAAUGUCACUUCUGUUAGAAAACCGCCCUAAUAUUGGAAACAAACAUCAUUAUGUUGUCAUCCAGAGCCAUAUUUAUUUAUUAUCCAAGCUAUAGCACACAAUAUUUUACGUAUAGCAGGUUUUUAAAGGACCACAGAGUUUGGUCUGCUUCGUGUUUUCAUUUUUGCCAUUGCAAACAUAUUGCGAUACCGGUAUCAUCCCGGCCCUACUGUUUAUACUGCCUUGCCAGGCUAGUAGGAAGGGCCAGAAGACAAGGAUCCGUCUUUGAAGACAAGGACCUCUCAUAACAAGGAUCAAAGUAUCACUGUUCCUCUGACAACCAGCAGCUGAAUGAAUGGAACAACCUGUAACAGUUUAUUAUGGGACAAGUUGCCAUUAUAAACUUUACUUUUAUAUUGUGUCCUAUGAUAUUCCUGGUCCCCGUUGGAACGGACAUACAUGAAGGAAUGCAGGCAUGAAUGUGUUGCACACACACGCACGCACACAUGGUCUACCAAUAGGUUUGGUUCAUUCAUGGAGUCAGAGAGGCUAGAAUGUUGAGUGUCUGAGGACAGGACUGAUCCGUUCUCCGAGGCUUCUAAAUUUAGCUUCUCAUUUCAGACACAUUUUCUCGGGAAGAAAAGCAAGCCUGUGUGUAUCGGCGGUAACCACGGCAGUCUGUGUGGAGUUUGUGUCAUGGUCACUCAUGCAUAGGAGAGGCCUGUAUUUGAAGCAUAGUGAGUGUUAUGUAUGGAGCUGAGAGGCUUUGCUCGCUUUGUCCUCUUAAAUGUGGUCCUCAGUACUAUCUUGCUUUGGCACAUUGUCAAAGACAGCCCACACAUUUUAGUGGGAGAGCACUCCUACAAUUCCCAGCCUAGCCAAGGCAUUAUACAUAUUGUGAUGGAUAUGAAAAGACACUAUUAGAAAAUCCCCGAAAGUGAACUUGAAUAAUGUGAAGUAAAUGAAUCACAGUAAGGGGGCGAGGGCCCUGUACACAUGCUCUGACAUCAAAGGGCUUGAGGGCCAGGCUACUGGUUGAAGUAGCAGAGUUAUGGGUGCUUGCUUUUGAUUUGAUUUGAGCCAUAGUCAGUCAGUAUAGUGGUGGCCACUUCAGUGAAGGGCAAGAUCAUUAAGAAAGAGCAAUGGGCAACUUUAGAAAACAUAGGCGAAAUAAUGAGUGGAGUGGCUCACAUUCAAGUUCUUCCCGUUGGUGUGUGCAAAUAAUGGCCAUUUCAAAAGUUUAAUUCAAUAUUGAAUGGUUGCUAAGUGUUCAACCAAAGCAUCAUAACUGUAAUAAAUGUUUGGUUUGUUUAUUGCUGAGCCCUAAGAGCAGACAAUGGAUAUUAUGUGACUUGUUCUGGCGAGGACAAUAGCAACUCUUUCUCUUCACAACAGAGAGAACAUGAAAUGAUGAAUACUUUAAUAAAUAUUUCCAAACAAACUGAAUAACAAUUUUUCUCCAAAAAAUAAAUUCACCUAAAAGCUGUGGAUCUGCUGCAUCAGGUAAAGGAGACUUUGCUGGUUGCAUACUGACUAUUUUACAGUUGUGUAUAUGUUUAGUAUAGUGCACAGUGCUGAGAAAGACAGUAGGGUAGAUAGCACAUAGAUUCAAUAGACUGUACAGUACCAGUACUUAAACUUGGGAACAGUAGCUUUACAGUAUGUAGCUUUAGAAGACAGAAGUAAUAAGGCAUGAGUGGUGGUGGGUUUAUAGCUGGAAUGCAGUAGUAAAAACAGUGGGAG